AUUGAACGCUGGCGGCAGGCCUAACACAUGCAAGUCGGACGGUAGCACAGAGAGCUUGCUCUUGGGUGACGAGUGGCGGACGGGUGAGUAAUGUCUGGGGAUCUGCCCGAUAGAGGGGGAUAACCACUGGAAACGGUGGCUAAUACCGCAUAACGUCGCAAGACCAAAGAGGGGGACCUUCGGGCCUCUCACUAUCGGAUGAACCCAGAUGGGAUUAGCUAGUAGGCGGGGUAAUGGCCCACCUAGGCGACGAUCCCUAGCUGGUCUGAGAGGAUGACCAGCCACACUGGAACUGAGACACGGUCCAGACUCCUACGGGAGGCAGCAGUGGGGAAUAUUGCACAAUGGGCGCAAGCCUGAUGCAGCCAUGCCGCGUGUAUGAAGAAGGCCUUCGGGUUGUAAAGUACUUUCAGCGGGGAGGAAGGCGAUGCGGUAAAUAACCGCGUCGAUUGACGUUACCCGCAGAAGAAGCACCGGCUAACUCCGUGCCAGCCGCCGCGGUAA
This 504-nucleotide ribosomal RNA is filed under the name uncultured bacterium. RNAcentral's name for it is "partial 16S ribosomal RNA". It matches the Rfam family "Bacterial small subunit ribosomal RNA", at positions 29 to 523 of the family's 1533-position model. The record is from RNAcentral.